Molecule: long non-coding RNA, 4066 nt
Organism: Magnolia sinica
Lineage: Eukaryota; Viridiplantae; Streptophyta; Magnoliopsida; Magnoliales; Magnoliaceae
Exons: 3
Source: RefSeq, a predicted model, not a curated record
CUGGAAAACCAUAUCCUGCACAACUGGUUCUAAAUGCUUUGUGGAGAGAUGAUUCUCCUUUUCCCCGAAAUUGUAAGUUAAAAAAUCAAAAGACUAAUAUUAUGGUGCGAACUGGGGGCUGAUUUGUACAAAAUCAAAAGCCGAUUUGUGAAUGAACUAAAGAAAAUUGCAGAUUGCUACAAAGUAACAGGUUAGAGAAGUACUUCGGCUGAAAGUGAUAAAAAACAUAAGAUUUGAAGACCAGUUUGAAAAGGAGAGGAAAACUAUUCCCAUGAAAAUUCCGGCACAAAGAUGAAUAAUAUUGCAUAAGAUGUGUCUAUAUUGCUUAUAUAUUAUUCUCUCAAAGCAAUCAAAAAAAAAAAAAGAAAAAAAAAAGAAAAAAAGAAGAAGAAGAAAUCUGGAUUCCAGACUAGAUACUGGCCCUUGUUUAGCACUUAGACUAUAGUAGGUUGGAAAUAACCAAUUUCUAUCUGUAUUCAAAACAGAAAUAGAAACAAUGAAAAAUGUGUAGAAGGAAAAACAAUAAAAAUGUGUCCCUGAACAGUCCUUAUAAGUCUAAUAUUUUCCCAACUUUGGGGUUUCCAAAACUCAAAACACUUCUAGAAAUACCAACUAAGCCUUGAACUCCCUUUCUUCUUGCGCAACACAAGGCCUAUGGACCUCUUGGUUAGAUCAGUAUGAUGACUUGGUCAGACCCCAUAGUGUUAUCCCUUGUUUUUUAGGCCUAUUUUGGAUGAUCUUUGGACCUUUCUUGGGUUGUUACACAGCCCCACGACUGCAUCCCCCGACCCGCAUUUAGUGGAACUCUCUGGCAAUUUAAUGCUUUAUAGAGAUGAAAUAACUCUGCAUUUAGCUUCAUUAACGUGUUCAUCUAAUCAGGGUUAGUUUUCCAUGUUAUGAAUGAUUAUUUAUCAUGCCUGUAGGAUGAGUUUGCAGUAGUCUUUGCUUUGACAAUUUGUUCAACUCCAUGUAUUUUCUUGUUGACUGUCUUAAAACUUCUUCAUGUUAGGUGACUUGGGACCAUUUUGAUUAGUGUAUUUGGGUGUACAAUUUUGCUUCAUAGCAUGCAAAGUGACUUUAGGACAAUCCUUAAUAAAUGUGUUUGCCAGCAUUUUGUAUAUCUUACUCAUAAAACCAUGUUACAUUAAAACAGUGUUUUGCACAAUCACCGGUGCUACAUCAGACCUGAUAUUAUCUGUUUACCUUUUCAUAGUAGUGAAAGUAGCUACGUAAUUAUAACUCUGUGUCCACACUUCUAGUUCUACAAAAAAUUGUUUAUUUAUAAUUCUACACCCUUUUCCGGUACUGUAUGCAGCAUUGGUAUGCACCUUUGUUUUCAAUUUAUCUGCCACUAAUGCAAUGUUAUGCUUACCAUUACCGACAUCAGUUAAAUUAGGCAUAAUUUACCUCGUGAUUUGUGACUAGUUCAAAAUAUGGCAUGACAUAACCAAUCAUCGUCCUCAAUUGGUUUUUAUGGUCUCAGGACCUUACCUUUCAGAAAAAAAAAGGUCUUAUGACCUUGUUCCUACCAACCAGCCAAGAAAACGCUGCAACCUUGGGAGGCACCCCCAUAUGACCAAAUGAACUUGGUUGGGGCCUUUGACGCUUUUCGGCCGGGAUGACGAAUCGCCCCAUAGAAGGAUCAAAGGGAAAAGCUUGCCACCAUUUCCCAUUUCCACACCCAAGCAUCCCUCUAGCGAGUAGAUGGAGAGCAACCUUGAAGAAUAGACAACAUUCAAAUUAUAUCUUCCAAUUCCUCCCUUAAUUCCAAUGGUAGGGAAGAAUCAAAUCGCAAGGCUUCUGUAUACCGAAAAGCACCUAGCAACACAGAUUUUUACCCUCAGAGCAAGCCUAGCAAGUCUAGGAAAUAGAAAACACGACGACUAUUGCCAAGUGUCCUCUCAUGCACUCACCAUCACCCAAUGAGAAGUUGAUAUCAUCCUUGAAGUCACUGGCCCACUAGCCACCCUCAUAAUCCCCUUCCAAGCCAUUAAUGCUUUACGAUGAAUAUUCCUUAGAGAACUGAUCGCCCUCACUAACUCUGUAUUUGUGCAUACCUCUUUUUACAAACCAACCUCCUCCACCCUAAACCUCCACAACCAUUUUCCUAAGAGAGAUAAGUUUAUUGAUUCUAGCUCUCUAAUAUUUGCAUUGUUGCACAUCCGUCAUGAAUCUGUUUGCAAAUUGAUUAUUUAUUUAUUUAUUUAAGAUAACGAAAUUUUAUUAAAAACAAAAGAAAUGGAGAAGAACAACAACAAGGAGGGACUCUAAGAAAGCGACCCAACACUAUCCAAGAAAUCGUAAAUUGCAAUCUUUUAAAAAGGAGACAAGAAGCACAUUCAAUACCCAACAAUCUAGCCCUUUGGGAUAUGCAUUCCACCGCUUUACUAUCAUUGUUAAAACACCUCGUAUCCCUUUCUUCCCAAACAACCCUCCAAAUAGUGAUGAGUGCCAUUCUCCAGAGCACCAUUUUAGCUUUCCCUAGGCGCACCCCAUUCCAAGAGGAUAAAAGACUGCCCAUCGAGUUCGGGGCGAUCCACCUCAAAUGGAAGCGACCCAACAUAUCAGCCCAAAUUAGCAUUAGGAAAGAGCAAUGCAAAAACAAAUGAUCCAUUGUUUCCUCAUCACGCAAACAUAGAAUGCACUUAUUUAGGAGUACCAUAGAUCCCUUUCGAAGGUUAUUAAUGAUUCAAACUUUCUUUCUUCCCACCAACAUACCACAUAAUGUGGCCAAUUCUCCAUAUUAGCAGGUGAUAAUUGAUGCAACAAUAGAAGCGGGUGAAUGAAUUAAAGCUCCCACAGCUAGGGAGAUUAGAGGGAAAUGGACAAAUGCAGAGUAUGCAAAUGUGAAAGCAUACGUGGCUACUUUUAAACCCAUAUGGCAAGCCACAUGAUUCAUGAUCAUGUGUGAUGGUUGGACUGGCCCAACCAGAUGCAUCAUGAUCAACUUUAUGGUGUAUUGCCACUUGGGAAUGGUGUACCAUAAGUCAAUUGAUGCAUUAGAUGAAAGAAAAAAUGCUACUUAUAUUUUUCCCUAAUGGAUAAAAUGGUUGAUGAGAUUGGAGAGGAGAAUGUGGUGCAGAUUAUUACAGAUAAUAAAACAACAUAUAGGGCUGCAGGACAAAAGUUGAUAAUAAAAAGACCACAUAUUUGUUCUCCAUGUGUUGCCCAAUGUAUUGAUCUUAUAUUGGAAGAUAUUGGGAAGAAGAGUAGUGUUAAGGAAAUGGUUGAAAAGGUAAGAGAAGUGACGACAUUUAUUUACAAUCAUAAUCAAGUAGUAGCAAUAAUGAGGAGGUUUACGAAUGAAAGAGAGUUGCUUACGCCCGCGACGACUAAAUUUGCAAUUAACUUUAUAGCCCUGGAGAGUUUGUACCAGCCAAGGGGAGAGUUAAGUGAGAUGUUCGCUUUCCGAGUUGGCUCAACAUGGGAAGAAGACAUCGGUGACAUCGGUUGAGGUUGUAAAGACCAUAAGGGACAACAAAUAUUGGAAGAAGAUCCAAAAGAUCCUAAAGGUGAUGAAAUUAGUAAUGAGGGUACUCUGUCUUGUUGAAACCAACGAAGCACCUAUCAUGGGCUUCCUCUAUGAUGCCAUGGAUAAGACAAAGCUGGCAAUUCAACGUGAUUGUUCAAAUUGGGAGGUCUACUGGAGGAUGAUUGACAAGAGAUAGACAAGACAACUCUAUCAUGAACUUCAUGUCGCAGGUUACUAUCUAAAUCCUAGAUACAUAUAUGCCCAAUCAUUUCUUGCAGAUAAUGAGAUUCAUGUUGAGUUAAGAAAUGUGAUAAAGAGAUUAAUAGCCCGACUUAUAUAUGCAAAUAAAGGUGUUAAAUGAAUUGGAUACAUAUGGAAAUCACUAGGGCAACUUUGGAGAUGCUCUUGCAUAACACGUAGUAUCUAGGUUGUCACCUGCCGAAUGGUGGAUGGAUUUCGAAGAGAGUGCGAAGGCUCUUCAAAAAAUUGCAGACAACAUCUUCCUUUACCUACGAAAGGAACUGGAGUAGUUUUGCACUUAUGCAUUCGAAGAAUAGGAAGAUAUUGCAAACCAGGACAUUUGAUAGACCUAUC